UACAGAGGUCCCAAGCGUUGUUCGGAUUCAUUGGGCGUAAAGGGUGCGUAGGCGGCGCGGUAAGUCGGGUGUGAAAUCUCGGAGCUUAACUCCGAAACUGCAUUCGAUACUGCCGUGCUUGAGGACUGGAGAGGAGACUGGAAUUUACGGUGUAGCGGUGAAAUGCGUAGAUAUCGUAAGGAAGACCAGUGGCGAAGGCGGGUCUCUGGACCGAUACUGACGCUGAGGUGCGAAAGCGUGGGGAGCAAACAGG
Molecule: ribosomal RNA, 253 nt
Filed under: uncultured bacterium
Lineage: Bacteria
Description: partial 16S ribosomal RNA
Rfam family: Bacterial small subunit ribosomal RNA
Source: RNAcentral